GAUGAACGCUGGCGGCGUGCUUAACACAUGCAAGUCGAACGAAGCAUUUGCGACAGAUUUUUUCGGAAUGAAGUUGCUUAUGACUGAGUGGCGGACGGGUGAGUAACGCGUGGGUAACCUGCCUUGUACUGGGGGAUAGCAGCUGGAAACGGCUGGUAAUACCGCAUAAGCGCACAAUGUUGCAUGACAUGGUGUGAAAAACUCCGGUGGUAUAAGAUGGACCCGCGUCUGAUUAGCUAGUUGGUGAGAUAACAGCCCACCAAGGCGACGAUCAGUAGCCGACCUGAGGGGGUGACCGGCCACAUUGGGACUGAGACACGGCCCAGACUCCUACGGGAGGCAGCAGUGGGGAAUAUUGCACAAUGGAGGAAACUCUGAUGCAGCGACGCCGCGUGAGUGAAGAAGUAAUUCGUUAUGUAAAGCUCUAUCAGCAGGGAAGAUAGUGACGGUACCUGACUAAGAAGCUCCGGCUAAAUACGUG
Molecule: ribosomal RNA, 481 nt
Filed under: uncultured bacterium
Lineage: Bacteria
Description: partial 16S ribosomal RNA
Rfam family: Bacterial small subunit ribosomal RNA
Source: RNAcentral